UACCAAUGUGCUUUAAAUCCUCUCCUCAUUCUGUCAGUUUACUUCACAUAAACAUGACAGAGUUUCACAGCUGCUUAUUCUUCUCAUGUUGAACUGUGUGUGUUUGUGUUCAGACUUUAAACCAGAGCCAGACGUCGUCUCCUCUUCACUGAAGUAGUCCACCAGUCCAACCACUGACGUCCAGCUGCUGGUCUCUAACUGGUCCACACAGCCCAUCAGACAUGAGGAAUUUGACUUUUGGCAUCCGGAGCCCACCUGCCAAGCCUCAUGAAUCUAACCGCCUGGAUCCUGGUUCGCACCUGAGGGAGACUUCCCUUCCAAACUGCCAGUGUCUCCUGCCUGCCUCCCUGUAUCACACGCAGUACUCACCUGGAUACCCGCCUCACGCCAUUCCCCUCCAAACAACCUCCACCUGCAAACAUUGCCCUGGCCAGCCAUAGCUUCCCGCCCCCAGUCUCUGCACCCAGUUGUCACAGUGACUUUUCUUACUUUAGUAAUCGUUAUAGCCGCCUCUGCCUCAGACGU
This is a long non-coding RNA of Oreochromis aureus, 525 nucleotides long. RefSeq lists it as uncharacterized. NCBI's taxonomy places the organism in Eukaryota, Metazoa, Chordata, Actinopteri, Cichliformes, Cichlidae. The record is from RefSeq and is a predicted model, not a curated record. The transcript has 3 exons.